RNAcentral lists this ribosomal RNA (225 nucleotides) under uncultured Rhizobium sp. RNAcentral describes it as "partial 16S ribosomal RNA". It matches the Rfam family "Bacterial small subunit ribosomal RNA", at positions 568 to 792 of the family's 1533-position model. Lineage: Bacteria; Pseudomonadati; Pseudomonadota; Alphaproteobacteria; Hyphomicrobiales; Rhizobiaceae. The record is from RNAcentral.
UGCGUAGGCGGUUUGUUAAGUCAGGGGUGAAAUCCCAGGGCUCAACCCUGGAACUGCCUUUGAUACUGUCGAUCUGGAGUAUGGAAGAGGUGAGUGGAAUUCCGAGUGUAGAGGUGAAAUUCGUAGAUAUUCGGAGGAACACCAGUGGCGAAGGCGGCUCACUGGUCCAUUACUGACGCUGAGGUGCGAAAGCGUGGGGAGCAAACAGGAUUAGAUACCCCUGUA